GAUGAACGCUGACAGAAUGCUUAACACAUGCAAGUCGAUUCAAAGUUCCUUUCGGGGAACGGAGGAUGGCGGACGGGUGAGUAACGCGUAAGGAACUUGCCUUUUGGCCUGGGACAACUGUUGGAAACGACAGCUAAUACCGGAUAUUAUGAGAUUCUCGCAUGGGAAACUUAUGAAAGCUAUAUGCGCCAAAAGAGAGCCUUGCGUUCCAUUAGCUAGUUGGUGGGGUAACGGCCCACCAAGGCGACGAUGGAUAGCCGGCCUGAGAGGGUGAACGGCCACAAGGGGACUGAGACACGGCCCUUACUCCUACGGGAGGCAGCAGUGGGGAAUAUUGGACAAUGGACCAAAAGUCUGAUCCAGCAAUUCUGUGUGCACGAUGAAGGUUUUCGGAUCGUAAAGUGCUUUCAGUUGGGAAGAAGAAAGUGACGGUACCAACAGAAGAAGCGACGGCUAAAUACGUGCCA
Molecule: ribosomal RNA, 467 nt
Filed under: uncultured bacterium
Lineage: Bacteria
Description: bacterial SSU rRNA
Rfam family: Bacterial small subunit ribosomal RNA
Source: RNAcentral